This 82-nucleotide transfer RNA is filed under the name Pangasius djambal. RNAcentral describes it as "tRNA-Ser". It matches the Rfam family "tRNA". From Rfam's summary of the family: Transfer RNA (tRNA) molecules are approximately 80 nucleotides in length. Their secondary structure includes four short double-helical elements and three loops (D, anti-codon, and T loops). Further hydrogen bonds mediate the characteristic L-shaped molecular structure. tRNAs have two regions of fundamental functional importance: the anti-codon, which is responsible for specific mRNA codon recognition, and the 3' end, to which the tRNAs corresponding amino acid is attached (by aminoacyl-tRNA synthetases). tRNAs cope with the degeneracy of the genetic code in two manners: having more than one tRNA (with a specific anti-codon) for a particular amino acid; and 'wobble' base-pairing, i.e. permitting non-standard base-pairing at the 3rd anti-codon position. The record is from RNAcentral. Lineage: Eukaryota; Metazoa; Chordata; Actinopteri; Siluriformes; Pangasiidae.
GACGAGGUGGCCGAGUGGUUAAGGUGAUAAACUACUAAUCCAUUGUGCUCUGCACGCCUGGGUUCAAAUCCCAUCCUUAUCG